Molecule: unclassified non-coding RNA, 647 nt
Filed under: Malassezia sympodialis
Lineage: Eukaryota; Fungi; Basidiomycota; Malasseziomycetes; Malasseziales; Malasseziaceae
Description: sequence contains 18S rRNA gene, ITS1, 5.8S rRNA gene, ITS2, 28S rRNA gene
Rfam family: 5.8S ribosomal RNA (bases 210-363)
Source: RNAcentral
AGUCGUAACAAGGUUUCUGUAGGUGAACCUGCAGAAGGAUCAUUAGUGAAAGUUUCGGGCCUGCCAUACGGACGCAAACACGUCUCUGGCGCCCAUCACUAUAUCCAUACCAACCCCUGUGCACUGUGAUGACGAAUGUCAUCGAACAAAAAAAAACUCGUAUGGUUGAAUGUACGUGAAAUUGUAGGUAUAGCCUACGAACUAUACACAACUUUCGACAACGGAUCUCUUGGUUCUCCCAUCGAUGAAGAACGCAGCGAAACGCGAUAGGUAAUGUGAAUUGCAGAAUUCCGUGAAUCAUCGAAUCUUUGAACGCACCUUGCGCUCCAUGGUAUUCCGUGGAGCAUGCCUGUUUGAGUGCCGCGAAUUCUCCCUCCCCUUACGGUGGCCGAAAGGCCGAAGUAGGGCGGACGGGGUAGGAUGGGUGUUUGCUGCCUGGGGAUUGUACCAGGCUCGCCCGAAAUGCAUAAGCGCCAGGACCCUCGCUACCGCUCUCUAGGGAAGAGUGGCUAAGCGACCGCUGAGCAUGGCAUGAUACGUCAUUUGCUGUGUGUGGGCGGCCGGUUGGAGAGGUGUCUGCUUUACCAGCCCUAUUUUAAUUCUGGUCUCAAAUCAGGUAGGAUCACCCGCUGAACCUAAGCAUAUCA